This 513-nucleotide ribosomal RNA is filed under the name Jeotgalibacillus sp. V2-47. RNAcentral describes it as "bacterial SSU rRNA". It matches the Rfam family "Bacterial small subunit ribosomal RNA", at positions 1 to 503 of the family's 1533-position model. Lineage: Bacteria; Bacillati; Bacillota; Bacilli; Caryophanales; Caryophanaceae. The record is from RNAcentral.
CUGAGUUUGAUCCUGGCUCAGGACGAACGCUGGCGGCGUGCCUAAUACAUGCAAGUCGAGCGAAUUUUCUGGAGCUUGCUCCAGAAAGUUAGCGGCGGACGGGUGAGUAACACGUGGGCAAUCUGCCCGUAAGACUGGGAUAACUCCGGGAAACCGGGGCUAAUACCGGAUAAUCCUGACUCUCUCCUGAGAGUCGGUUGAAAGAUGGUUUCGGCUAUCACUUACGGAUGAGCCCGCGGCGCAUUAGCUAGUUGGUGAGGUAACGGCUCACCAAGGCGACGAUGCGUAGCCGACCUGAGAGGGUGAUCGGCCACACUGGGACUGAGACACGGCCCAGACUCCUACGGGAGGCAGCAGUAGGGAAUCUUCCGCAAUGGACGAAAGUCUGACGGAGCAACGCCGCGUGAGUGAAGAAGGUUUUCGGAUCGUAAAACUCUGUUGUUAGGGAAGAACACGUACGAGAGUAACUGCUCGUACCUUGACGGUACCUAACCAGAAAGCCACGGCAAUCGC